This 312-nucleotide small nuclear RNA is filed under the name Octodon degus (degu). RNAcentral's name for it is "7SK RNA (ENSODEG00000023097.1)". It matches the Rfam family "7SK RNA". From Rfam's summary of the family: 7SK was discovered as an abundant small nuclear RNA in the mid-70s but a possible function has only recently been suggested. Two independent studies have found that 7SK RNA binds the CDK9/cyclin T complex (known as elongation factor P-TEFb). Lineage: Eukaryota; Metazoa; Chordata; Mammalia; Rodentia; Octodontidae. The record is from Rfam by way of RNAcentral.
GGAUGUGCAAUUGGCUGUGAUGUCUGUCGCCCUAUUGAUUGCCAGGGUUGAUAGAGCUCAUCUGGCCGGCAAGGUGGGUGUCCCCUUUCUCUUUCACUGUAUCACGCGCAUCCCUCGUGAGGCAGCACGCUCGGGAGAGGAUGACCACCCCAAUCCUCAGAGAUCAUUUCCUUGCUCAGUAUCCAGGCAGCUGCACUCCCCUGCUAGAAUCUGCAAGCAGCUCUCAAAACAUUUUGUCAGCAACACUAAAGAGUUGCAGUUUUGAGUAGAGGACAAUUCUGAAGUUUACUGUGGUCACUUUGGUAUAUUUAC